UGAUGUUGCAAAAACUGAUGAAUCAAUGGCUAAAGUUUGGCCAUUGACUGAUAUGCUCUGUAGGUUUAAAUUAUAAUGGGGCUGCGUUGGGACAAGUGGAGUAUAGACAAUAUUUGGCUCCACAAUUUCUCCAAGAACCAGUACACCACCACCUGCAUCAUCUCCUUUCAAGCAAUGAGAGAAAACCUUUGGUGUUAUCCCCUGUGAAGCCAGCUGCGAGAUGACAGACAUGCCCUGUUGCCCAAAACCAAAGAUCCCAUCAACUGCUCUAUCAGACUUUGUCAAGUCCCCAGUCUGUAAUGUGCUACACCCAAAGACAACGGAAGCUGAAGAACUAUUGGUCACAGACCCACCAAGAACCGUAUCAAAGUGCAACAAAUCAGCUACAUAAUAGCCUGUUGUACCACUGCCAUCCCCAUACUGGAAGGUGUACCCGCAUUGAUUGCUUUGAGAAGAACACAGAGAAUCUGAUGAUUGAAUUCCAACAGCGCAUCGUUGGUCUGAACAAGAGAUCAAUGAAGCUGUUGAUGAGCUUCCAGGAUCAAAGGAAGUGAGUGGAAUUUGGAGUCCACUCGUAACAGGGCAACCAUUGCAGGAGCUGCAACUGACCCACAGAACAUCACUCCCAGUAUCUAUUUGCACAUAGAAAUCUUUUGGAGGAGAACCCAAUUGCACUUUUGUAUAAUAAAGCCCAACGAGGAAGGGAUUGAAUGUUCCUUGAACAGGGAAAUCCACGACUCCACCAGCAGACUGCAAUAUUCUACGAUGCCUAAAGCUAUCUCGUUCUCUGAGCUGGUUCAACUCAAGCCUAUGACUGGGAGGAAUCCCCCUCUCAAGAGUAAGAGUAGCCGGAAAAGAAGAAAAAACGAGUGAGACGGGCAAAAGUAAGGCAACGAUGACAAUUCCGGCAGGAAAAGUCAUUGCCAUACCGGUCAGCUUUGGCUGCUAUUUCCUUUCGAUCUCAAUGGAAGAAGAAUUGAAACUGUAGUGAUGAUAAAAAACAAGAAUGGGAUUGUAAAGGGUUGUGUUUUGUCGUGAAAUCUGCAGCGAAGAGAUGAAGAGAUUGACAGAUAGAAAGAGAUAGAGAAAGGAAAGCUGAAAAGAGACAGAUUGUCUAUGACAACAAGAACAC
Molecule: unclassified non-coding RNA, 1132 nt
Filed under: Hevea brasiliensis (rubber tree)
Lineage: Eukaryota; Viridiplantae; Streptophyta; Magnoliopsida; Malpighiales; Euphorbiaceae
Source: RNAcentral